RNAcentral lists this long non-coding RNA (246 nucleotides) under Phoenix dactylifera (date palm). RNAcentral describes it as "long non-coding RNA (PDAC_LNC008881)". Lineage: Eukaryota; Viridiplantae; Streptophyta; Magnoliopsida; Arecales; Arecaceae. The record is from RNAcentral.
AGAGAGAGAGAGAGAGAGAGAGAGGAUGGUUAUUAUUCGUUGGAAGAAAGCAACGGUUAAGAUUCAAGAAUCGCAGGAUGAUAAACAUUUGGCCUUUUGGCUGCAGCGAGAGGCCGCGGGAAGUGCCACGCCGGUGUCAGCAUGUACUUGAAUACAGCUGGACUUUGAAAGUGGUGCUCUGCUUAGAUUUUUCGGAUUCCACGCCUCCGGUUAGGCGGUUACUCAUACAUUCUCCCGCAUCCCUCG